Molecule: long non-coding RNA, 1232 nt
Organism: Austrofundulus limnaeus
Lineage: Eukaryota; Metazoa; Chordata; Actinopteri; Cyprinodontiformes; Rivulidae
Exons: 2
Source: RefSeq, a predicted model, not a curated record
GAAAUGCAAUUUUAUUCACGUUACGGGAUUACUGAGAAGACGCAAACAGCAGGAGGAGGGUUGUGCUGUCAGUCGCAGCUGCAGCUGACCCAAAACUGGUACCAGUACCGUGGAACAGCUGCUCAGCUACGUGAGCUUCCAGAUGAAACAACACCAGCUUUUUGUCAGUUUUAAGGAGCAAAGAAUGGAUGAUAAAACUUUUAAAGAAUCAGUCAGAGCAGAAACAAGAACUAAAGAAGAAAAAAGUAAAGACAUAACAGAGAAGAAGAUACACGUUAAGAGCAAAAUCCGAGUGAGAAAGAAGAGGAGUGAGGAAGAAAAAGAAAGAAAGGGAGCACAGGAUGAGACGACUGCCUGGAAAGACGAUUAGUAUUCAUGUGGCGUGGUGCUCCAGAGAGGAUUAAUGGACUCUGAUGCCUAAUAUCCUGGAGAACAAUUAAUUUGCCCACAGUUUUGUCAUGGUUGAAAGUCAAAUGCUGGAACAGAUCGAUGCGCACAGCCGCCAGUGAAAUAGCGGCAGCCCCUUCUGCCAGGCGCAGAAUUUUAAUUUCAUCAUCAUCAUUUUCCCCGCCUGCCACCCUCGACGAAGCUGUCCAUGACAUGGCUGAGAGGGCCGCCACAUCCCGACAGGCAUGGUGCACACACACACAAACACACACAAAAUGCUUGGUUAACACACAAACAUACCACACACUCUGAUACACUGACACUUUCAGCAAAGAACACGCAUACAUGCAUUCUCACAAACACACAGAAAGUCAUCAAAUACAAAAACAAGUUGAAGGAACUUCAGAACUUAUACAAAGUGAUACUUUUGUAUGGCUUUGUAAAAUUUAAUAUAUAUUUGUAGAGGUUUUGUACAUAAAGGACCCUCUUAUCUACAGGGCCAACUUUUCGCAAAGAUUCACCAUUUCUAAAAUGAUAUUUAACACUUUUUUAUCUAAAUGUUACCAUUAAGGUUUUUUUUUUUUCGAGUGUUAUAUAUGUUUGUUUUAAUGGUAAAUUUGGUUGUUAAAGUUUGUUUUAUGAAACUUUGGUUUUUGUUACCAGUUUUGGCCAGGGCACUCAUGUACUGAGAUUUUUAAUCUCACUGAGUUUUUCUCUCUCCUGGUAAUUUGAAAGAUGAAAAAAUGAAUUAAUAAACUACAUAAUCCACAUUAAACCAUUAUGGAUGAAGAAAUUUUCAAAUUGUAGUUUUUCUGUUAAAAAAUAAAGGUAAGGUUUUAUGUAUG